RNAcentral lists this transfer RNA (83 nucleotides) under Labilithrix sp. Its description in RNAcentral is "tRNA-Leu". It matches the Rfam family "tRNA". From Rfam's summary of the family: Transfer RNA (tRNA) molecules are approximately 80 nucleotides in length. Lineage: Bacteria; Pseudomonadati; Myxococcota; Polyangiales; Labilitrichaceae. The record is from RNAcentral.
GUCACCGUGGUGGAAUUGGCAUACACAGCAGCUUGAGGUGCUGCGCCCCAACGGGUGUGAGGGUUCGACUCCCUCCGGUGACA